UCGGUGCUUGCCGCGAUUCCGAUCGUGUUCUUCGUCCUUCUCCGCCGCCGCGGUGUGCGCGUUUUUCAUUCAAGAAAAGGCUUUUUUUUCGGGUCUCCGCGUGAAGAAAUGGAACUUUCCUUCGAUUUUAUUUUGAUUCGCGGGCCGAGCCGGAAUUUCGUGGGGUGAAUUUCUCGGUGGAAUUUGGCGCGCGCGUGUGUGGUAAGUUACGGGGCGAUGCGGACGAAAGUGGCCGGAAGUGCGGACGAAGCGCGCGCGCUUGGCGUGGUUUUUUCUUCGGGCGUAGCAGGCGGUGGUGCGCGACUUAUGCCGGCGUCGACGCCGGAAGUGACCUCGCGGGAGCGUGAUUCUGUGUCGGUUUUUCGUGGGGAGCGUGUGUGAAUCUGGCCAGGGAAACGGUUCCGACGAAAAUGGAGGGAAGCAAAAAAAAAACGUGCUUUUUCUCGUCGUGAGUCGGAAAAGAAAAAUGUCGGCGUGACCAGGAGCAGCUCUCUUCAAAAUGGUGCCACUCUUUCGCAGUAUAUUCUUGUGGCUUGAUGUGUUAGAAAUCGUGCUCAAAUCACAGGAGUAUACUGUGAGAGAUCGCCAGGACCGGUCGGCCGGCGGAACGCGUUUCCGGUGGGAAAAUCCUCGCCAUGAAGCCAACAGAAAAUGAUGAUGGCGACGACGGAGUAGGCGAUGACGAAGGAGGGAGAGAGUGAGGACGAGCUGCCACUUCCGGGAGCAUAUGAAAAGCAGCAGCAGCGUGUUCUUCUUCCCGGUAAAUUCCACACCCAACCCUGGCAGAGUGAGAGAGCGAGAGGGGCGCACUGAAAAUGUGUGUGCGUGUGUGUGUGUGUGUGAACGAAACAGGUUUCGGCCGUGCGAGCGGGACGGGGCGUCAUCACACUCACCGAACACGUGUUGAAGGCAAAUGGCGGGAUUUCGUCGGACGAAUCAUCCUCUCUUCCUGAAACGAGUUGGGAAUCAAAAACACGAGGGAAGCGCGCGGACCGCAAAUCGAGAUGGCGGAGGGCGCCGAAGGCGCGGUAGGUAAUUUUUGAAAACAUAAAAGUUUAAAAAAAUAAACGCUUUGAUGUAUUAAAAAAA
Long non-coding RNA from Culex quinquefasciatus (southern house mosquito), 1089 nucleotides. RefSeq lists it as uncharacterized. Lineage: Eukaryota; Metazoa; Arthropoda; Insecta; Diptera; Culicidae. The transcript has 3 exons. The record is from RefSeq and is a predicted model, not a curated record.